This 77-nucleotide non-coding RNA is filed under the name Paraburkholderia bannensis. The record is from RNAcentral. Lineage: Bacteria; Pseudomonadati; Pseudomonadota; Betaproteobacteria; Burkholderiales; Burkholderiaceae. RNAcentral also lists the same sequence under 1 other name.
GCGAGCGGAGUGCGGUGAAAGUCGCUUGCUCCGUUCUUAGGGGGCCGUGCUUUCGGAAGGGAGCGCGGCUACCCACU